RNAcentral lists this ribosomal RNA (330 nucleotides) under Micrococcineae bacterium CL5.18. RNAcentral's name for it is "bacterial SSU rRNA". It matches the Rfam family "Bacterial small subunit ribosomal RNA", at positions 136 to 478 of the family's 1533-position model. Lineage: Bacteria; Bacillati; Actinomycetota; Actinomycetes; Micrococcales. The record is from RNAcentral.
CUCUGGGAUAAGCCUGGGAAACUGGGUCUAAUACCGGAUAUGACUCCUCAUCGCAUGGUGGGGGGUGGAAAGCUUUAUUGUGGUUUUGGAUGGACUCGCGGCCUAUCAGCUUGUUGGUGAGGUAAUGGCUCACCAAGGCGACGACGGGUAGCCGGCCUGAGAGGGUGACCGGCCACACUGGGACUGAGACACGGCCCAGACUCCUACGGGAGGCAGCAGUGGGGAAUAUUGCACAAUGGGCGCAAGCCUGAUGCAGCGACGCCGCGUGAGGGAUGACGGCCUUCGGGUUGUAAACCUCUUUCAGUAGGGAAGAAGCGAAAGUGACGGUAC